AUAAAAAUAUCUAUCUUCAGAGGAAAGUAACGCUGUAUCAUACAUAGCUUGUUGAUUCGACACUGUCAUCAUGUGUAAGAUAUUUUGAAAACGUAUCCUCCAGAACUUCACAGCAUCAUUUUUGAACAUGUUGCAUAUGUUUGUUAUUUUUUAUUUUUUUUUUCAGUUUUUCAAGUUUCACUUUUUUCGAAUAUGUUCUACCACUGACAUAGGAUCCGGUUUUGAAUAUGUUCCAUGUUAGAUAUGAUUGAUGAUACAAAUGGGAACAACUACGUACAAAACUCUUGCAAUCCACUUUAAUUUUAAACAACGUUGCUAAUAAUUAUUUUUCAAUACAUUUUAAUGUUCCGAUGGACAAAAGUACAGAAUGGUGUUAAAAAAUUAAUGGGUGAAGAGCAAAAUAUAAAUAUGAAACAUACCUUUAGCAUCAUAUGCAUGGUACGACUCCAACAUCAUUCAUUCGAUUAAGGGGACAGUACGCAGCAUAAUGGAAGUGUGCACUCGUCUUUAGUGAAAAAAUAUAAGUGCAUAAUACCAGAAAAAAAGUACAAAAGUUUAAUUUACAAUGCCUUUUACUUUAAAUUAAUGCAUGAACAUCAAUUGAACUAUUGCUGGUGACUGUUGUCACCAGUUGAAAAUAUCAAUAUCAAAAUACUGGGUUAAUGCAACUUCUAAGUUAUUAGUUCUGCACAAGCAUAAAGAAAUUCAAUUAUAGCGCUAUGGAAGACGUAAAAGUACAAAACAAAUUCAAGAAGAAAGAUGACUAGCAUUCCAGUUCAUAGGUGAUUAGAUCCAAACAAUGUAAUAACACAUUACCAACUAUCUAUCUUAAAAACAAUUAAGCGUAAUGUGUUAUCUUACCAUUCUUUAUACAUUGCUUAAUAGGAGUUUUAUUCAACGCUGUAUUCUUU
Molecule: long non-coding RNA, 911 nt
Filed under: Vigna radiata
Lineage: Eukaryota; Viridiplantae; Streptophyta; Magnoliopsida; Fabales; Fabaceae
Description: long non-coding RNA (VRAD_LNC002480)
Source: RNAcentral